RNAcentral lists this ribosomal RNA (475 nucleotides) under Flavobacterium sp. Its description in RNAcentral is "bacterial SSU rRNA". It matches the Rfam family "Bacterial small subunit ribosomal RNA", at positions 391 to 868 of the family's 1533-position model. Lineage: Bacteria; Pseudomonadati; Bacteroidota; Flavobacteriia; Flavobacteriales; Flavobacteriaceae. The record is from RNAcentral.
GCCNUGCCGCGUGCAGGAUGACGGUCCUAUGGAUUGUAAACUGCUUUUGUACAGGAAGAAACACUACUUCGUGAAGUAGCUUGACGGUACUGUAAGAAUAAGGAUCGGCUAACUCCGUGCCAGCAGCCGCGGUAAUACGGAGGAUCCAAGCGUUAUCCGGAAUCAUUGGGUUUAAAGGGUCCGUAGGCGGUUUAGUAAGUCAGUGGUGAAAGCCCAUCGCUCAACGGUGGAACGGCCAUUGAUACUGCUAAACUUGAAUUAUUAGGAAGUAACUAGAAUAUGUAGUGUAGCGGUGAAAUGCUUAGAGAUUACAUGGAAUACCAAUUGCGAAGGCAGGUUACUACUAAUAUAUUGACGCUGAUGGACGAAAGCGUGGGUAGCGAACAGGAUUAGAUACCCUGGUAGUCCACGCCGUAAACGAUGGAUACUAGCUGUUGGGCGCAAGUUCAGUGGCUAAGCGAAAGUGAUAAGUAUC